This is a long non-coding RNA of Oxyura jamaicensis (ruddy duck), 4560 nucleotides long. RefSeq lists it as uncharacterized. The record is from RefSeq and is a predicted model, not a curated record. Lineage: Eukaryota; Metazoa; Chordata; Aves; Anseriformes; Anatidae. The transcript is spliced from 2 exons.
AUAUAUAUAUAUAUAUAAAUAGUUCUAGGCAUGAAUAAACAUUUUGCAUCAAUUUUAGCAUAAGAUAAUGGUUUAAAAGACAAAAGCCUUCAAAUAUUUCUAUGAAAUAUCUAAGUAGUAGUUUCUUUUCUGUGGUAUCUUUUGCUGAAAGAUUUUUAAAGACUCUGAAAAGACUAGUAAUAUCAUACGAAUAUUGUCAUUGUUUUUAAAUCAACAUUUUCUCAUGUGUUCUCACAGUGAUGAUUUUUCUUCCAAGAGAAAAGUGUUCUUCACCUUUGUCAUGUGUUGUAUCAGCAUGUACCAUUGCCUUCAGACUUGGUUACACAACGUCCUAGACUUUGUUAAAGAAUAGAGGUUUUGUGCUAAUUGUAUAUUUUAUGUUUGUUUCUCAGUAUGAUACAUGAACACUAUUCAGUGUUGUUGAUACAGAGCAAGGAUAAAUUCUUAUUUAAGAAUGUAGAAAAUACCUGAAAAUAUGUGGAUGUUUUUGAAGGGAGGAGUGGAAUGUUCAAAAAUGUUCCUGUCUUCCAAGUUUGUGCAAAGUUGUAUUGUCACUAAGAUUUUCUAUUUUCAACACAAUACAAUUCUAAAUAUUUUUCAUCUCAAUGGUUACUUUGCAAGCUUUAAGAAAAUACCAUUAAAUAGUAGGAAAAAAAAAAUCUCCUCGGAAUAAAUUGGCUUCUGUGCAUAUAUUCUUUUGGGGAUGUGUGGUGAUGGAUUUUAUUGCAUAAAAUCAGGUAAGAAAAGUCACAAACCUAUGUUUUGGUAGGGAAGGAUAGCUCUCUGGUCAGGAAAAAUACUUUAAAAGCAUGCUUUAAGUUAUUUUGAGGCGAUAAGCAAUUCAGUAGGUCGCUUUUGAUUUAAAAUUAUUUCAGAAUUUCUUUUUAUCUUUUAAGAUUAGCUUUCAGUAACUGUACUAUUACUAAGAAUCCAGAAAAGGUUAUUUUCUUACCAAACUUUCUUGAAAUCUUAAUUAGGACAUUUAUUAGUAAUAGUGUCUGUGGUAGACUACAUUUAUUUUUUCAGGACUGUAUAGAAACCACAAUCUAAUAUAACAGCGUAUCUUUGAAAUGCCAUCUAACAUCUCUGUAUUUUAGUUAAGAUUCUAACAAAUCUGCACUUGACUGUGUAACAUUAUAAAAACAAAGUUCCAAAUUACUGUUACUUACCUUCAUUAGAUAUCUAGUCCUACAUUUUAUGACCGAAAAUUUAUUGUUCAAAUAGGUAAAACAUUACUAAAAUGCCUGCAAUUGCUCUUUACUUACAAUAUUUAAAACAGAAGUUGACACUUCACAGGAAUGCGGAUGGUAGUUAUGUUAGUUAUCUUGGUGUUGGGUUUUCAGGGUUGUAACUGUCCAUAUAAUUCAAAAUUUUAUCAAAAUUUUUAUUUUCUUUAUUUAAUAACUGGUAGCUCACUUCCGUCAUCUCUAUCCAAAAACCUUUUGAGUCUUGUGAGUUUUUUGGUUAAGUUAGACACCACAGGCACACACAUCACAUACACUCCUAAAAUACACUGCUAAAGUGUACCAGAACAGUGUGAUACAGUAAAAAUAUAGUCUUGGAUAAGGAAUUAAAUUUUCUCAUUUUUAUUCUGAGUCUUUAUAAGACAAGAGAGAUUGCUAGCUGAAUAAAUACUAUGUCUCAGCUUUAUUGCUCAUAUUAACACUAUAUGUGGGUUGGACUACAAGUAUGGUAUUAACACAGAACAAGAGAGUGGUCUCUCAAAGAAAAUGAAUGUUCUUGUAUUUUGGAGAAGGCCAAAUUGUGCCUUACCUCUUCUUUUCUCAUCUAAUGAAGAUGAGUCCUAUUGUAAUCAGUGUCACUUUGUAGCACUGUAUAGAAUUUUCUAUACAGGAGUAGAUGGUGAUGGAUAUUAAAGAGUUGUUGUUGUUUUACUGUUUGCAUUACUUGCAAGUUUAGUAACAGAUGUCUAAAAUUUCAAAGCAGACCCUAAGAUUUUCGUGUGUUGCUAGUGUGGUCUUCCAAAAAUAUCAGAUUAUCAAAUUCCUUUCUAUGGGACUGAAGAUGGGAUGACAGUUAAGAUGUGCAUCUGUUUUCCUGUCUCAAAAACUACAUAUAUCUUUUUUUUCUCAUUAUUUCUUUUUCAAAAAAAAGGGAUGUUUGUAUAAAAAUUACCCAAAAUGUUGUUACUUGUGUAUCAUGAUACAAAUUUUAAUGUAUGCUGCAAUCAUGAUAAUAAACACUCACCAUUCCUCUGAAGACAGCAGUUUCUGCUACACUGUUGGGAUGAGACUUCUGCAUAAAUCUUCAGCACCUGGGCUCCCCUCUUCUGUGAUUCCUGCAGGUCAAUCAAGAGACCUGGGAAGUGUCGAAUCCAGCAGUUCUUGUAAAACAUAGUGGGUGUGCAGAGAGAGUCUGAUUCUACCACCAAAAUCAGAACCAACAGCACUUCUGAUAUUGCCACCAAAAGGACCAUCUCCUCAGUGCAACUGGCUUAGAAGAAAAAAAAUGAAGUCAAGGACAAGCCCUGUGGCUUACUUCAAUUAAAUAGACCUGAAACACCAGAUGAUUUCUUCAGUUUAGGUGGGGCUUUAUUAAGAUAAAGUGCAAUACUGGAUGUGAACAUUGAGUAUCUAAGUGUCUUUCAGACUGUUCAGUAAGUCUUUCUCUGACAUGACAUUUUGAAUAAAGUAACAAAUUCUCAAACACCUAUAGCUGCCAUUGAGGCAAUCGCCAAACAUAGUAAGUGAGGUUACUCCUUGUGUUUAAGUAUGUUUUUACAUGAAUGAGCUUUGGUAACCAGUCAUGUUCUUUACAGAUCUAUGUGUUUACAAUGUAUAUUUUAAACCUGUUUUUAGUUUGCCUCUACUUGCUUAUACUGCUGAUCUUUCUCAGUACCUUUGCAUUUUUAUUCUGUUUUUCUGCUGUCUGCUUCAACCAAGCAGCCUUUUUUUUUUUCAUUACUUGUAAUUAUUUCUCUCUUCGCUGUUUCUGAAUAAAUUAUAAGACCAGGAACAGCUGCAGGGAAACUUUUUGUUUAAAGAAAUAUAAAGAGAAUGAAAUAAGUAAACAACUGCUUUAGGCAGUUUCCUUUAAAAAUGAAAAGUUUUAGCUUAAAUUUCAGGGCCUUCUGCCAGCUUGCCCAUAACCUAACUUUGACUCUUGUAUGGCAAAUACAUAUUAAUAAUUUAAUGCUGAAGUCUUAAAUUAUAAAAAUUUUGCAAGAAGGAAAUAUCUAAAUCUUACCUGCAAUCCAGUGACCAACUGUUCCAUGUGCUCCACAAGGAGGGAUCAAGAGAUUUUUGCUCUUAAUAUGGAAUCUCUGGCCAGUAUCAAACCAGCACUUCAUGUUAUUUGCAAUUCUUUUCAUGGUCUUCUCAAAUUUCUACAAGGAUAACAAACUGGGAGUUGCCUGUUUUCUGUAAAAACAUGGAUGUCUUUGCAGAUCUUUCAGUAAAUGAGAUGUAAACAUACCUGACACAAAGGAAGAGAAUGAUCUUUUUAACAAUUCUUGUUAUGAACUGAAACAGUACCUGAAAUCUUCCACCUGGUCUGGCAGUGAUAGUUAAACAAUCCAAGAGCUUCCUUGCACAAAGUAUUCAUCAGACAUUAACUCUUUUUUUUUUUUUUUGCCAAAUAUAAACAAAAGCCGACACUUUUUCCACUUAGAGUUCCAUAUAUAUAUGUUGUUUUAUUUAGUUUAUAUGGAAUAUAUGGUUCUAGUACUUGAAAUAUAUAAAGACCACAAAGAAGAUCUAUAUGGUACAGGAAAGUAUUCCUGAAAAGGACUAAAAUGUAAAGGGUUUGAUUCUUUAGACAAGUCAGCCUGUCUAAAACUACACUGUACAAAUAGUUUGGUUUUGUUUAUCUGUUGUCCUCACUGCUGUUGUUGCAUGCUUCUCUCUGAAUGUCAGCAGGUAAGAGGACAGUCAAAGGCUAUACGACUUUAGGUCUGUAUGCUGUUUCAAGCGCUAUGAAAUACAGUGCUGCUAUGAAACACCAGUGUCUGUCUUUGAAAGUUUCUCUGUCUCCUGCUCUGUCAAUGGUGGUUAAGCCUGUAUGAUCAGAGAUGGAUACGUCCCUCACAUGAAUGCAGACUAGACAAGAGAGGACAGUUGGGCAUCAUAUCUGGGUCUUCCGUUUCCCAAGCAGAUUACAGGAGGUGAGACAUACUCCUGUGACCCAGAUGUGACAAAGCAAUUUUUGAUGCUGCUAUGAUGAUGUAGAAGUAUAUAGAACAUGAUUGCUGCUAACACAGACCCAGCCUGCCUCAGGAAGGGGAAGAAACCACAUCUGUAUAAAGCAAUUCUCUGCUACAGUUAAAGUCCAACAGUUUAGCUUAAACCAUCUGUGUUUUAGGCUGUCCAUCAGAGCAACUGAAAGUUGGCAACUGCCAGCUGAGAAGUAAGACCAAAGCCUGCAGAUUCCCAGGUGAAUUAUGAACCUGUCUGUCCUCAUACAACCAUCAAUAAGCUUAUUUAAACAAAUAUGUGCAGCAUAAUCCCAUGUAACAUCAACACUAGUAGUCUCCGCUGAAGUCAGCAUACCUCAGUGCCUCUGUUGCACUCGAUGUGAAUAAAUUGUAUGUCUUUGCUGAAA